GCAGUAGGUCCCCGGCUUCAGAAAAGUUCUCCUCAGGUUCACCUCACACUUUGCGGAAGGAGGAACAUCAUUGCACAUGAUGCUGUGCACCGAAGUGCACGUGGGGUCCGACACAAUGGUGCACGCCGAGGUGGGGACGCUAAAGAGGAGAUCAGACCGCAUGGGUAGAAAGCGGUCACUGCCUGACACCCACCGAUGAUGCUGAUGUUUGCUACAAAGAUUCCGUGCACGUAGCGGACGCACUCGUUGCCCUGCAGCACACGCUUGCUGUGAAGCAGAGCACAGAGGGUCGACUCUGGGGUACCGCUGGAAUCAACGGACGGGAGGACUUCUGUGGUGGGCAAGCCCAUUGUCACGGUGACAGGAGAUGAGCUGGAGAUCACCGAGAUGGCUGGAAGAAGUGGCAUGACGACAUGAAUUCAUGGGACCGGCAGCCAUGUUUGCGGAGUUGGAAAGUACGCAGUCAAUCGUCACCGGCGGCGACUCGGCUAAUCAAACUCAUGAGACUGACUGCAACAGCGAGCCGGAGGGAGGACAUCAUCGCGGUGAGGAAAAUGGCUAACAUUUACAGGAAUUGUCCUGUGCCCCCACGACGCAAGUGAGCAAUUGUCAAACGCACGCA
Molecule: long non-coding RNA, 622 nt
Organism: Hippocampus zosterae (dwarf seahorse)
Lineage: Eukaryota; Metazoa; Chordata; Actinopteri; Syngnathiformes; Syngnathidae
Exons: 3
Source: RefSeq, a predicted model, not a curated record